Molecule: ribosomal RNA, 655 nt
Filed under: Trichomma sp. RDB-2000
Lineage: Eukaryota; Metazoa; Arthropoda; Insecta; Hymenoptera; Ichneumonidae
Description: eukaryotic LSU rRNA
Source: RNAcentral
CCUGAGAAACCCAAAAGAUCGAAUGGGGAGAUUCAUCGUCAGCGGUUCCCGGCGAGCGGGCGGACCGCGAUGCCGGCUGCAUUGCGCAGUCCGGCACGCGUCCGCGCGUCCCAAUUGCCGGGUCUCGUCGGCGUGCACUUCUCCCCUAGUAGGACGUCGCGACCCGUCGGGUGUCGGUCUACGACCCGGGUGGGCGCCUGCCGCGGGCAACCCCCUCGCGGGGCGUUCGCUCGUUGCAGACCCCCGGUAGUCCGACCAGCUGCCCGGCGGUACCCGCACGGUAUCGGGCCGCAAUCAAUUUUCGCACGAUGCGUCCGACCCCGCCGCAAGCCUUGGCCAGUGAACCAAUUAUCCCGGAUGAACGGACGAAGCGCCGUCGCCGGGCCUGGCCGGCUGUUGGUUGGCGGUGCGCUCGGACCGGCCCGUGGCUCAAUUACCGGUCGGCGACGCUACUGCUUUGGGUACUCUCAGGACCCGUCUUGAAACACGGACCAAGGAGUCUAACAUGUGCGCGAGUCAUUGGGAGAAUCAAGCCUAAAGGCGCAAUGAAAGUGAAGGUCGGCCCGGCGCCGAUCGAGGGAGGAUGGUCCGCGUUACGAUGCGGUCCCGCACUCCCGGGGCGUCUCGUUCUCAUUGCGAGAAGCGGCGCACCCAG